Molecule: long non-coding RNA, 840 nt
Organism: Exaiptasia diaphana
Lineage: Eukaryota; Metazoa; Cnidaria; Anthozoa; Actiniaria; Aiptasiidae
Exons: 3
Source: RefSeq, a predicted model, not a curated record
AUCAACAAAAUAUGAAAUAAAUGAAAUAUGUCCUCAAAGGUCAAAUCUACUUUGGUGAUAGGUGGAAUUGUUGCAAUAACAGCAGCUGCUUUGUUUCCCAUUGUGAUUUACCCAAAAUUAUAUCCAGAAGUCUAUAGGGACAUUCAAAAGGAAACUAGAAACUCUAUCAACCAAGAGGACAUACAACCAGGAAAUAUGAAAGUGUGGUCAGAUCCUUUCAAAAAGCAGUGAAAAUGGACAUUACAAAGUGAAUAUCAGGAUAUAAAAUACAGUAAAUCUCAGCCAUUUGCAGCAUAUGACUACUGAAAUAAAGAUGGGAAAUGAAGCUUUUCAACACCAGACAUUGUGGAAUAGUGAAUGUUCAUGACAUAUUAAAUAGGAUAUAUUCAGGAUACAAACAGUCAGAAUACAAUUACAUCACAAUGUAGACUAUUCAAACUACUAUCAUUUGUAGACUAAUUAAUCUUGUAAUACUAAUUACAAGAUUUCACUGAAACUAUGCUUUAUUCCAUGAAAUUAUAUGUGUUUGUACAUUAAAAUAACCUUUUUUAUCAAUAGUAAUAAUUUCACUCCAUGUGUAUGAUUGGUAAUAAUUUAAUGAACAUUAUUUUAAUGUGUAGUAUUAAAAUGCACAGACACACUCAGACAGCUAUUGUUCAACAUAAAAUUGUUGAAAGUGCAAUAGCAUGGCAGUUUUUUUUAUUCAUGGCACUAUUAGAGUGAAUAUGCUUAAUUUACAAAAUCAAAACAGUACAAAUUUGUAUUUGAAAUCCUGGAGUUUGGAUUAUGGAAUCCAACAAGGUGAAAACAGUUCUUUUUUUAAUAAAUAUGCACUGAAGA